AUUGAACGCUGGCGGCAGGCCUAACACAUGCCAGUCGAACGGUAACAGGAAGCAGCUUGCUGCUUUGCUGACGAGUGGCGGACGGGUGUGUAAUGUCUGGGAAACUGCCCGAUGGAGGGGGGUAACUACUGGAAACGGUAGCUAAUACCGCAUAACGUCGCAAGAGCAAAGAGGGGGACCUUCGGGCCCCUUGCCAUCGGAUGUGCCCAGAUGGGAUUAGCUAGAAGGUGGGGUAACGGCUCACCUAGGCGACGAUCCCUAGCUGGUCUGAGAGGAUGACCAGCCACACUGGAACUGAGACACGGUCCAGACUCCUACGGGAGGCAGCAGUGGGGAAUAUUGCACAAUGGGCGCAAGCCUGAUGCAGCCAUGCCGCGUGUGUGAAGAAGGCCUUCGGGUUGUAAAGUACUUUCGGCGGGAAGGAAGAGAAGAAGGUUAAUACCUCUGCGCAUUGACGUUACCCGCAGAAGAAGCACCGGCUAACUCCGUG
This 490-nucleotide ribosomal RNA is filed under the name uncultured bacterium. RNAcentral describes it as "partial 16S ribosomal RNA". It matches the Rfam family "Bacterial small subunit ribosomal RNA", at positions 30 to 507 of the family's 1533-position model. The record is from RNAcentral.